AUACGUAGGUGACAAGCGUUAUCCGGAUUUACUGGGCGUAAAGGGCGUGUAGGCGGUCUUGCAAGUCAGAAGUGAAAUUCCUGAGCUCAACUCGGGCGCUGCUUCUGAAACUGCAGGACUUGAGUGCUGGAGGGGAUAGCGGAAUUCCUAGUGGAGCGGUAAAAUGCGCAGAUAUUAGGAAGAACACCGGUGGCGAAGGCGGUUUUCUGGGCCGUAACUGACGCUAAGGCGCGAAAGCUAGGGGAGCAAACAGGAUUAGAUACCCUGGUAGUCCUGGCCGUAAACGAUGGGCACUAGGUGUGGGGAGAUUACUCUUUCCGUGCCGCAGCUAACGCAUUAAGUGCCCCGCCUGGGGAGUACGACCGCAAGGUUAAAACUCAAAUGAAUUGACGGGG
This 395-nucleotide ribosomal RNA is filed under the name uncultured bacterium. RNAcentral's name for it is "partial 16S ribosomal RNA". It matches the Rfam family "Bacterial small subunit ribosomal RNA", at positions 523 to 918 of the family's 1533-position model. The record is from RNAcentral.